GGAGACAAUCGGAUCGCUCCUCAUUUUUUGUCCUAACCUAGAGCCGUUUCCAUCAUCUUCAACAAGACAAAAACAACCGCCUUUAUCAAAAAAGAGGAGGACCCCUCACAAAAAGAACCUGAAGCAGCUGAAACUUUCCCCCUUUUUGAUCUUCUUUAAUCUUCGACAUUAACACUCUUCAAAAACGGCAAAUCCAUUCUUGCUAAAAGUCGGUCGAAUCCCUCAUUUCUUGAAUGUGGACACACUUCCAACUUUUCAAAAGAAAAAGGACUCAAAAAAAGGCAUCGUUCACUUCACUAAUAUCUCGAAUCUGAGAUUUCGACUCCAAUGUGACGACUAUUAUGUUUCUUUCCUUCAAUUUCGACUUUUUGCUUCCAAAUAGAUUUGAGUUUGAGGCAUCCGGGUUUGAGCUUUUCGUUUGAUAUUUGCGAAAGCUUCUUGUGAGCUGUUUCUGGAUUAAAGUCGAGUAUGACAUUGCUCUGUUGCUGCUGUUUGCUAUCAAAAUCGUAGCUGGACUUCUUUCAUCUCCAUUUCUACAUUUUAUUAGUAGUUUCAAGCUCUAUUUGGUAAUUAUUUUAGGUAUACAUUCUCGAGCCUGUAC
RNAcentral lists this long non-coding RNA (601 nucleotides) under Nicotiana benthamiana. RNAcentral's name for it is "long non-coding RNA (NBEN_LNC009323)". Lineage: Eukaryota; Viridiplantae; Streptophyta; Magnoliopsida; Solanales; Solanaceae. The record is from RNAcentral.